RNAcentral lists this ribosomal RNA (253 nucleotides) under uncultured bacterium. RNAcentral describes it as "partial 16S ribosomal RNA". It matches the Rfam family "Bacterial small subunit ribosomal RNA", at positions 524 to 776 of the family's 1533-position model. The record is from RNAcentral.
UACAGAGGUGGCAAGCGUUGUUCGUAAUUACUGGGCGUAAAGGGCGCGUAGGCGGUUCGUUAAGUCCUGUGUGAAAUCCCCCGGCUCAACUGGGGAACUGCACAGGAAACUAGCGGGCUUGAGUUCGGGAGAGGGAAGCGGAAUUCCGGGUGUAGCGGUGAAAUGCGUAGAUAUCCGGAGGAACACCGGUGGCGAAGGCGGCUUCCUGGACCGACACUGACGCUGAGGCGCGAAAGCUAGGGGAGCAAACAGG